AUGGCUUCUAAGCUUUUACCUUCUCUAGAAUGUUUAUUUGAGUCACAGUCUUCCACUCGCCCAAAUUCCAUGUUUGCCUCUAAAGAAGCCUGCCCAGUCCUGCGUAUUAUGUACCAGACAGUCAUUCUGAUCAUUGAGUCAAAUGUGUAGAACAUUGAACUCAAAGUUUAUGCAAUUUCUCCACCAUAUGUUUGCUAGAGGAAACUUCUGAGUAAGUUUGUGUUUUCACAUAGAAUCCACACUUUUUUCCAUAAAAUGAAUGAAGGUCUAUUUGGUGUUCUGAUCCUGCCACAGCUCACUUCUGUUUCUCAUUCUGUAAUUUUUAAUGUCCUUCAGAAAACCUUAUGCUGUGCUACUCUUAACAUGUAUUAUCGACAACCAUCCACAAAAGAACAUGAACCUUAGAAGUUCAAUAUGAUUGGGGAAUAUGAACUGCAGAAGCAGAAGAGAUGUAAGGCCAGAGUUCAGAAGUCUGGGUGUCUAUGCUUUGUAUUUUAUUACACAGAUGAAAGUGUGUCACUUGCUGGGGCUUAAAGACAGUAUCUCUCACGUGAUGUAUCUGGAAUGAAUACUCACUAAAAACAAGCAUUAUUUCUGACAUCUGUUGCUUGUUUGGAUGGCAAACCGGCAAGUGUUGAAAUUUGUGAUAACGGUCAGAAAGAAAGUAUACAGUCCAGUGGCCAUGGAAACCUCAUAUAGUUUUUUCCUGUUUCUUUUUCUACACUUUCUUAGUGAAUGAAUUGCUGGUGAAUCCAGCUGGAUGGCAGCCCAAGAGACUGCAGUGCUCAGCUCAGCCACAGCAUAGGGCAAACCUAGUCAAAAGCAAUGAGCUUUCUCUUUGCAUGUCCUCACCAAAGUACUAUUUUCAGUAAGCAACUUUUUUUAAGGAAAAGUAAUUCAUUGUCUCAGGAA
This 912-nucleotide long non-coding RNA is filed under the name Apteryx owenii (little spotted kiwi). RNAcentral's name for it is "lncRNA (ENSAOWG00000004629.1)". Lineage: Eukaryota; Metazoa; Chordata; Aves; Apterygiformes; Apterygidae. The record is from RNAcentral.